CUUCGUUGGGGUUGCGGACAUACAACAUGGAUGCAAUAUCGUAAAUGAAGAGAGUUGGAAAGCUCCGCCAUAGAAGGUAAUAGCCCUGUAGUUGAAACGAGAAAGCUACUAGUAUGAUCCAGAGUACCACGGGACACGUGAAACCCUGUGGGAAGCAGGAGGGACCAUCCUCCAAGCCUAAAUACUACCUAGUGACCGAUAGCGCAUAGUACCGUGAGGGAAAGGUGAAAAGAACCCCGGGAGGGGAGUGAAAUAGAACCUGAAACCCUGCACUUACAAGCUGUGGGAGCACAUUACUUGUGUGACCGCGUACUUUUUGUAGAACGGGCCAACGAGUUACGUUAAGUAGCAAGGUUAAGCACUUAAGGUGUGGAGCCGUAGCGAAAGCGAGUCUUAAAUGGGCGAUUAAGUUACUUGGCGUAGACCCGAAACCGGGCGACCUAUCCAUGAGCAGGUUGAAGCGAAAGUAAAAUUUCGUGGAGGACCGAACCCACGAGCGUUGAAAAGCUCGGGGAUGACUUGUGGAUAGCGGUGAAAUUCCAAUCGAGCCCGGAGAUAGCUGGUUCUCCCCGAAAUAGCUUUAGGGCUAGCCUCAAGCGUAGAGAAACGGAGGUAGAGCACUGAAUGUCCUAGGGGGUAUUGCACUUACCGAAGACUAUCAAACUCCGAAUGCCGUUUUCUUUUACUUGGGAGUCAGACUGUGGGUGAUAAGAUUCAUAGUCAAAAGGGCAACAGCCCAGAUCGUCAGCUAAGGUCCCUAAAUGUACGUUAAGUGGUAAAGGAUGUGGGAUUGCACAGACAACCAGGAUGUUGGCUUAGAAGCAGCCACUCAUUUAAAGAGUGCGUAAUAGCUCACUGGUCGAGUGAUCCUGCGCCGAAAAUUUCCGGGGCUAAAACGUACUACCGAAGCUACGGCAUCAUUUAUGAUGGGUAGGGGAGCUUCGUAUGCAGGCUGAAGCAUGACCGUAAGGACAUGUGGACAGUAUACGAGUGAGAAUGUUGGCAUGAGUAGCGAGACGUGGGUGAGAAUCCCACGGGCCGUAAACCCAAGGUUUCCAGGGGAAGGUUCGUCCGCCCUGGGUUAGUCGGGACCUAAGCCGAGGCCGAAAGGCGUAGGUGAUGGACAACAGGUUGAUAUUCCUGUACCGCCAAUAAGCGUUUGAGAGAUGGAGUGACACAGUAGGAUAAGCUAACCGUACUGUUGGUUAUGUACGGCUAAGCAUUGAGGCAGUCUAAAUAGGCAAAUCCGUUUAGACAAUGCUAGGAUGUGAUGGGGAAGCCCUUCGGGGCGAAGUAGCUGAUUUCACACUGUCAAGAAAAGCUUCUAUCGAGUUUAAAGGCGCCCGUACCGUAAACCGACACAGGUGGGUGAGGAGAGUAUCCUAAGGCCAGCGAGAGAACUAUUGUUAAGGAACUCGGCAAAAUGACCCCGUAACUUAGGGAGAAGGGGUGCCUGUCUAUGACAGGCCGCAGAGAAUAGGCCCAAGCGACUGUUUACCAAAAACACAGGUUUCUGCUAAGUCGCAAGACGAUGUAUAGGAGCUGACGCCUGCCCGGUGCUGGAAGGUUAAGGGGAUCUGUUAGAGCAAUCGAAGCAGUGAACUUAAGCCCCAGUAAACGGCGGCCGUAACUAUAACGGUCCUAAGGUAGCGAAAUUCCUUGUCGGGUAAGUUCCGACCCGCACGAAAGGCGUAACGAUUUGGGCACUGUCUCAACAAUAGACUCGGUGAAAUUGUAAUCCCGGUGAAGAUGCCGGGUACCUGCGACAGGACGGAAAGACCCCAUGGAGCUUUACUGUAGCUUGACGUUGGGUCUUGGUACUACAUGUACAGGAUAGGUGGGAGACUAUGAAGCAUGGACGCCAGUCUGUGUGGAGUCAUCCUUGGGAUACCACCCUUGUAGUACUGGGAUCCUAACCAUAGGCCUUGAAUCAGGUCUUGGAACACCGUCAGGUGGGCAGUUUGACUGGGGCGGUCGCCUCCUAAAAAGUAACGGAGGCGCUCAAAGGUUUCCUCAGCACGGUCGGAAAUCGUGCGAAGAGUGUAAAGGCAAAAGGAAGCUUGAUUGCAAGACAUACAGGUCGAGCAAGGACGAAAGU
RNAcentral lists this ribosomal RNA (2098 nucleotides) under human gut metagenome. RNAcentral's name for it is "bacterial LSU rRNA". It matches the Rfam family "Bacterial large subunit ribosomal RNA", at positions 287 to 2406 of the family's 2925-position model. The record is from RNAcentral.